RNAcentral lists this ribosomal RNA (468 nucleotides) under uncultured bacterium. RNAcentral's name for it is "partial 16S ribosomal RNA". It matches the Rfam family "Bacterial small subunit ribosomal RNA", at positions 28 to 507 of the family's 1533-position model. The record is from RNAcentral.
GACGAACGCUGGCGGCGUGCCUAACACAUGCAAGUCGAACGGAAAGGCCCUGCUUUUGUGGGGUGCUCGAGUGGCGAACGGGUGAGUAACACGUGAGUAACCUGCCCUUGACUUUGGGAUAACUUCAGGAAACUGGGGCUAAUACCGGAUAGGAGCUCCUGCUGCAUGGUGGGGGUUGGAAAGUUUCGGCGGUUGGGGAUGGACUCGCGGCUUAUCAGCUUGUUGGUGGGGUAGUGGCUUACCAAGGCUUUGACGGGUAGCCGGCCUGAGAGGGUGACCGGCCACAUUGGGACGGAGAUACGGCCCAGACUCCUACGGGAGGCAGCAGUGGGGAAGAUUGCACAAUGGGCGGAAGCCUGAUGCAGCAACGCCGCGUGCGGGAUGACGGCCUUCGGGUUGUAAACCGCUAUCGCCUGUGACGAAGCGUGAGUGACGGUAAUGGGUAAAGAAGCACCGGCUAACUACGUG